Molecule: ribosomal RNA, 400 nt
Filed under: uncultured bacterium
Lineage: Bacteria
Description: bacterial SSU rRNA
Rfam family: Bacterial small subunit ribosomal RNA
Source: RNAcentral
UGGGGAAUAUUGGACAAUGGGGGCAACCCUGAUCCAGCGAUGCCGCGUGGGUGAAGAAGGCCUUCGGGUUGUAAAGCCCUUUAGGUUGGGACGAAGUGCAGGAGGUUAAUACCCUUCUGUGUUGACGGUACCGACAGAAUAAGCACCGGCAAACUCUGUGCCAGCAGCCGCGGUAAUACAGAGGGUGCAAGCGUUAAUCGGAGUUACUGGGCGUAAAGGGCGCGUAGGCGGUUAAGUGAGUGUGAUGUGAAAGCCCCGGGCUUAACCUGGGAAGUGCAUCGCAAACGACUUAUCUGGAGUAUAAGAGAGGGUGGCGGAAUUUCCGGUGUAGCGGUGAAAUGCGUAGAGAUCGGAAGGAACGUCAAUGGCGAAGGCAGCCACCUGGCUUAAUACUGACGCU